UUUCGUACCUAUAUAUACACAAAUCUAAUGCAUAUACAUGAACAUAUCAAGAAGAAACAGACAAUUAUUCUACUCUAUUUUUGCAGCUGAAGUAGAAAAAUAAUGGUUAGAUUGGGAAAAAAAAUUUCGAUAUUCCCUGUUAGGGAGCCGUUAUUUCCUAAAUUUAACAUCAAGGGUAAUACAGUCGUUAUAGUCGGAAUAGGCGAUAUCGUAGUGAAAAGGUUUGCCUUGUUAUCACAGGCACCAUUUUUCUAGCCGUUGCCAUACCUAAUUUAAUUCUAUUUGUCGGUAUGUUGUUUAAUUAGUUCGUUUUGUAGCGUCUUUUGUUCUUAGCUUGUAGGAUUGGAAGGAAUUCUUUUACGUAUGAUUUAUGUAAAGAUCGAUUCAUUAAUUUAUUUAUUUAGCACUUCAGUUUAAUUUACAGUAAAUGUUUAUCAAAUUUUCAAUGUCUUGAUUAUCAAAGGGUGUAUCUCGCGCUUGAAAUCUUUUAUUCUUGUUACAAAGUUUUAUGUAGGAAUUUGAAAUCUCAAUUUCUUAAGAUAUUGAAGGGUUUCGCCCUGAGGCGAAGCCAUGAUUUUAACUUUAUAGGUUUAAUUUUUGAACAAUAAUUUCUUGCGCUAAUAACUUGACCGAACUCGUGCUCUGAAUUCUAGCUCUACCACUGAUUUCAUCAAGCGGUGGAAGGAUAUAAUGGAGGGGUAGGGGAUUAUUC
RNAcentral lists this long non-coding RNA (712 nucleotides) under Nicotiana benthamiana. RNAcentral describes it as "long non-coding RNA (NBEN_LNC014617)". The record is from RNAcentral. Lineage: Eukaryota; Viridiplantae; Streptophyta; Magnoliopsida; Solanales; Solanaceae.